GACGAACGCUGGCGGCGUGCUUAACACAUGCAAGUCGAACGGUGAGGCUCCAGCUUGCUGGAGUGGAUCAGUGGCGAACGGGUGAGUAACACGUGAGCAACCUGCCCCUGACUCUGGAAUAAGCGCUGGAAACGGCGUCUAAUACUGGAUACGAGAAGGGUCCGCAUGGGCACUUUCUGGAAAGUUUUUCGGUUGGGGAUGGGCUCGCGGCCUUUCAGCUUGUUGGUGAGGUAAUGGCUCACCAAGGCGACGACGGGUAGCCGGCCUGAGAGGGCGACCGGCCACACUGGGACUGAGACACGGCCCAGACUCCUACGGGAGGCAGCAGUGGGGAAUAUUGCACAAUGGGCGAAAGCCUGAUGCAGCGACGCCGCGUGAGGGAUGACGGCCUUCGGGUUGUAAACCUCUUUCAGCAGGGAAGAAGCGAAAGUGACGGUACCUGCAGAAGAAGCACCGGCUAACUACGUG
Molecule: ribosomal RNA, 468 nt
Filed under: uncultured bacterium
Lineage: Bacteria
Description: partial 16S ribosomal RNA
Rfam family: Bacterial small subunit ribosomal RNA
Source: RNAcentral